CAAGGCGACGACGGGUAGCUGGUCUGAGAGGAUGGUCAGCCACAAUGGCACUGAGACACGGGCCAUACACCUACGGGUGGCGCAGUCGGGAAUUUUGGACAAUGGGCGAAAGCCUGAUCCAGCGACGCCGCGUGGAGGAUUGAAGGCCUUCGGGUCGUAAACUCCUUUUGCAGCAGAAGAUUAUGACGGUAUGCUGCGAAUAAGCACUUGCUAACUACGUGCCAGAAGCCUCGGUAUGCGUAGAGUGCAAGCGUUAUCCGGAUUUACUGGGCGUAAAGAGUUGCGUAGGCGGCUCGACGCAUUCUGUUUGAAAUGCCUCGACUCAAUCGAGGAUUUGGACAGAAGAUGGUCGAGCUAGAGGGAAAGAGAGGGUGCUGGAACCAAUCGUGGAGCAGUGAAAUGCGUUGAUAUGAUUGGGAACACCAAAGGCGUAGGCAGGCACCUAACUUUCUCCUGACGCUGAGGCACGAAAGCUAGGGGAGCGAAGCAGAUUAGAGACCUGCGUAGUCCUAGUCGUAAACAAUCCCUGCUAGAUAGUCUGAUGUAUAUUGGACUGUCGUAGCUAACGCGUUAAGCAGGGCGCCUGGGGAGUACGAGCGCAAGCUUAAAACUCAAAGGAAUUGACGGGGACCCGCACAAGCAGUGGAGCGUGUGGUUUAAUUCGAUACAAAGCGAAAAACCUCACCAGGGCUUGACAUGCACCCUGCAGUCCGGUGAAAGCCGGAUGAUCUUUCGAGGGUGGUGCACAGAUGCUGCAUGGCUGUCGUCAGCUCGUGGCGUGAGCUGUACCCUUAAGUGGGA
This 801-nucleotide ribosomal RNA is filed under the name uncultured bacterium. RNAcentral's name for it is "bacterial SSU rRNA". It matches the Rfam family "Bacterial small subunit ribosomal RNA", at positions 269 to 1089 of the family's 1533-position model. The record is from RNAcentral.